UGGGCGAGGUGCCGGCGGGUGGUUCUGGACCUGGCGAUGACUUCGCAGGCGACACCUGCGCCACUGUGUACGUUUCUGCUGCCCCUCAGCAAACAGGGUUUCCCUCUGUUGCCAAGGCUGAAGUGAAGUAGUGCAAACACAGGUCAUGGAAAUCUCUGAUUCAUGUCGGCAAACCAUUCUCCCGCCUCAGCCUCCCAAAAAAAUUGGGAUUACAGUGAAUUGAAAAGACAGAGAUGAAGAUGAAGUGGAUGGGCACGUGGAGACAAUUCUUUCAAGAAGCUUUGGCUGUAAAGGAAAAAAG
Non-coding RNA from Microcebus murinus (gray mouse lemur), 301 nucleotides. The record is from RefSeq and is a predicted model, not a curated record. Lineage: Eukaryota; Metazoa; Chordata; Mammalia; Primates; Cheirogaleidae.